GAGCAACCAUCUCAACCCUUAAUUCUAGACAUAAACGGGAGGAAAAGCCUCAGGUAACCAUGAAACUGACAAUGGGUAAUCACUGUCACUUGUGCGCAGAUAUUCACUCAUCAGAAGAUGCAAGUGGCUUCUUCAACAGCCCAAUCUAGGCAUUGUGGUGCCCGCAACAUUGAAGGCAUGCGAUAUUGAGAAAUGAAUGAUCGUUCGUGCCAUCGGUUCUCUUAUCAGGAUGUUUAUUAAGAGGGAUGUUCUGUGAUACAGUGAAGAGAGAAAAAAACAUUUCACAGUAUGACAUUUCCUCACCAUGGCACAAUGAAACAUCUGAAGACCCUCCUCCCUCCCAUGUAUUGCGUCAAAGCAGAAUUAUCAAAGCAUCCUUUCUACGCAAGAACCUGUGUACACAAACCUAUCCUGAAGUGGGAGGGAAUGCUAAACUCUGUAUUAACCCAAAUGAUGUUCGAUAAAUACUUCCUUUCCUUUGCAGCAAUUGAUUCCCUUUCUUUUCACAUAUUCAAACAUUCCUGAACCAGAUGACAUUCAGCAUCUAAGCUGCAGCUUAUUUGCAAAGAAUGAUGUACCUUCCUACAUCCACAAAAUCUACAUCGAGGAACAAACUACGUGCCCAAUGCAGCCCAGCUUGAGGUGAACAUAAGCGGAGGAGUGUGAGAUCGGGGAGGAGAGGGAUUGUUUUGGUCGAGUUGAAACUGUGGAGAGGUAGGGUCGUUGUAAUGGUCUGGUUCCUGUAUCUCAUAGGAUCUAUUCCAUUAAAUCCCAGUGGGUAAAUUACAGUACAUCUGUUCAAAUCCCUGUCAAAUACUGCAGAGGAUUACUGCUGGGAACAAAUUUGCGAGGACAACAGGGCGGAUAUACAGUAACUACUCAUACUAACAUCACCACUACAGUGACAUUCACUUGAAUUAGGAGUGGUUGGGGAAUACAAAUCAUCUUUUGAAUGAGCCAUAGGUGUUUGGGAUUCUGUGCGUAAAUCUUUAGAGAUAUUAGCUAGGACUUUACUUAAACUCAGCAGCGAUCCUUCAAAGAUUUCUGCAUCUAAAAAGGUUGAUUACUUGCUUGGAACACCACAAUAUACCACCAGCUGGUCACUUAAUGCACAUGGUAAGUUCACAAGAUAUAAACAAUUAAGCAAGAAAAAGGGAAAAAAAGCAUAUCGUUUGGAAUAGUCUAUGGCUUUCAAACAAAUGAGUGUAUGCCAACACAUGUGCAUGUAUGUAACAUGUAUGCUAACACUACCACCCUGUUUCUAAAAACUGAUUGCUAUGCUAUAUAAAAAUUGAACUAUAAUACAUACAAAACCAGAUGAGAACUGGUUGGCUUUAUUUAUUAAUGCUAAUUAAUGUGAUGCUGCAAUGCUUUUUUCCCCUUUAAACUAUUUAAAUGGGGGACAAAAAAAAAAGACAUUUAA
This is a long non-coding RNA of Rhinichthys klamathensis goyatoka, 1423 nucleotides long. RefSeq lists it as uncharacterized. The transcript is spliced from 2 exons. NCBI's taxonomy places the organism in Eukaryota, Metazoa, Chordata, Actinopteri, Cypriniformes, Leuciscidae. The record is from RefSeq and is a predicted model, not a curated record.